UACGUAGGGGGCAAGCGUUGUCCGGAUUUAUUGGGCGUAAAGAGCGUGUAGGCGGCUUAGUAGGUCCGCUGUGAAAACUCGAGGCUCAACCUCGAGAUGUCGGCGGAAACCACUUGGCUAGAGUCCGGAAGAGGAGAGUGGAAUUCCCGGUGUAGCGGUGAAAUGCGCAGAUAUCGGGAAGAACACCUAUGGCGAAGGCAGCUCUCUGGGACGGUACUGACGCUGAGACGCGAAAGCGUGGGGAGCGAAUGGG
Molecule: ribosomal RNA, 253 nt
Filed under: uncultured bacterium
Lineage: Bacteria
Description: partial 16S ribosomal RNA
Rfam family: Bacterial small subunit ribosomal RNA
Source: RNAcentral